UGGGGAAUAUUGCACAAUGGGGGAAACCCUGAUGCAGCGACGCCGCGUGAACGAAGAAGGUAUUCGUAUCGUAAAGUUCUGUCCUACGGGAAGAUAAUGACAGUACCAUAGAAGAAAGCUCCGGCUAAAUACGUGCCAGCAGCCGCGGUAAUACGUAUGGAGCGAGCGUUGUCCGGAAUUAUUGGGCGUAAAGGGUACGCAGGCGGUUUAAUAAGUCGAAUGUUAAAGAUCGGGGCUCAACCCCGCAAAGCAUUGGAAACUGAUAAACUUGAGUAGUGGAGAGGAAAGUGGAAUUCCUAGUGUAGUGGUGAAAUACGUAGAUAUUAGGAGGAAUACCAGUAGCGAAGGCGACUUUCUGGACACAAACUGACGCUGAGGUACGAAAGCGUGGGGAGCAAACAGG
This 403-nucleotide ribosomal RNA is filed under the name bacterium. Its description in RNAcentral is "partial 16S ribosomal RNA". It matches the Rfam family "Bacterial small subunit ribosomal RNA", at positions 355 to 776 of the family's 1533-position model. The record is from RNAcentral.